RNAcentral lists this long non-coding RNA (902 nucleotides) under Fukomys damarensis (Damara mole-rat). RNAcentral's name for it is "lncRNA (ENSFDAG00000027526.1)". Lineage: Eukaryota; Metazoa; Chordata; Mammalia; Rodentia; Bathyergidae. The record is from RNAcentral.
GAGCGCAGCCACGCUGCCCCUUUAUGGCGGCACUUUUUAUUUUCAUUUGUUUACUUCUGGGUGCGCUUUCGUCUUUUACACGACUGCGUAUCCUUCCGCGACUCCGGGCCGGGCGCGGACACCGCACCGGGAAGCACGGGAGGAGCCGCCGACACCUCUGCGGGCUCGAUCCUCGUUCACAUUGCAGGGACUACUUUUUAGGAAUGAACCAUUUUUGCUGUCAUCAACAGAUGCUUAAGGCCAUCAGAGCCCUUCCGCUAAGGAUAAAAUACGACAUAAUGUUUAAAAUGUACCUUUUUAUAAAAAUACUCUGCUUGGACUCACACUGGCCGUGGAAUUUCCUCGUGUUCCGAGGCAAGAUGCGAGGGGCGAGCGGUGGAAGGCGGUGGCCCAGGAGACGCCCCCUACGCGUCCUCAGAUUGGCUACGUCUCACGGCGCGCAGGGACGGCGGGCCUGAAAGAUGAAGACUACGACUCCCAGCUUCCCGAGGUGGGGCCUCCGUUACACAUGCGCACAGUCGGCGUGAGCGGUCUCCUCUAUAUAAGGGGCGCAGAGGGUUGGGAGGCAGCAGUUGGAAGUUGGCAGGUGGAGAGGCAGGUUGGGAGGGAAGUCGGGGAGGAGGCGGAAGAGGAGCCGUCUGAGGGGAGGAGGGAGGAGGCGGAGGACUGAGCGGAGCAAGCGCCGAGCCAGAGGGAGAUGAGUUUGUCUGUCUGCGGCCGAGCCUCUGGCCUGGCCUAGGGACCUGGGCGCGCGGGUCGGAGCGACACCCGUGGAAGUGGGAGGAGGAGGCGCCGGGACUUUAACCCCUUGUGCGCUCUGCGGCAGGGGAUUUAACCCUUUGUGGGCUCGGCUCUCGGCGCGGCGUCAUCGGUGGCGUUAACCCCUUCGGGGCCGGGUCCCG